UUGAUUGAAGGCUAAGGGUACUAGUUUUGCGCGAGGAGUCGGACAUAUGCCAUCUUUCCCGCAGUUUAUGAUCAUGCAAAAGCUGACACUCAAACUCUCAGUGAGCGAGCUCGAAGAUGCAAAUGCCGAAAAUGAAGGCUGGUUCUCCCGUCUCCCGCCUCAUCGUCGAAGCUUUCCUCGGCUUCCUCUCCAAUGGUCUCUCUCUCUCUCUCUCUCUCUCUCUCUGCUAACAUAUGCGGUUUUUUUUUUGAAUAUUUUAAUGAUGGGGGUGUUGUCCUGGAAGUAAUGCCGAAAAAUGUCCUGUUCUUGUUCAGUGACGUUUUGUUAGUACUUUUUGGAGUUGCUAAUUCCUGGUUCCGUGCUUAUUCCUUGGUAAUGCAAUAGUUGAACACUCUCCCGGGACUGAUCUUGAGGGUCUCGAGGUUGCUAAGAAUGUCUGGCGGACAUGUUCAAGGUCGAUACUGCCUCUCCGGUUGACAAUAUUUGCGGACGAGAAUUAUUGGUGGACUUUGUCGAGUCCCUUAAAGCUGGUGGCGAAGCCAAUUUGUCGCAGGGAUCAGCGCAUAAGGAGGACUUUUCUUCUUCUCCUCCUCCCCCUCUUACCCCCCCUCCCCGUUCUUCUAGUAAAUGUUAUUCCAGUCGCGAGGCUAAGUAGGAGGAUUCAAUAUGAUGAUUGGUGGCCUUUUCCUGAGCCUAUGAUUUAAAUAGAUAUCCAUUAUAGUGUAAGUGAAAGAAGUGCAAGAUCAUCACUAUGCAGUUUAGGGCGUUCGCAUUUCCCCUGGUGGACUAAAUGACGAGUGUUAAGCAAUGUCGUCUGAGAUCACUGAAAGCAAAGGCAAAUUUUUUCUUUAUGUCCUCCUUCCCAACACACAUAACUAGCAUGGGGUUGGUGGAGUAGAUGUUUGACUUGAGUUUUGAUAGAUCAAAGGAGGUAGCUUUUGCUUUUGCUCGGUCCAUUUGGAAAUGAAAGGAUAGUAAUGAGUCUAUGUUUCCUGGUUUGCUCUGUAGAUUUUUAGCUGCCUUUGUCUUGUGUCCUUCAGUUCUGCUUUUCUGCUCCAACUUCUAACCAAUAUCUUUCAACUUGAUUGAGGGAGAGCGUCCGACAAACAAACCCUUUGCCCCCGGUAGACCCAUGCAAUUUAUUUUUCUUCUUUGGGUUCCAUGAUUCUGACUAUUUUUUGUGUUAAUGGUUUCUUGACAAUUAAUCUUGGCAGGGUCAAAUGAACUUUUCCAAAUAUUCUGUGAUUCUGUUCGUGAUAAGGACAUUCUGGUGAUUGACUAUCGAAUGAUUGGUCCGCAGCUACGCAAGACAAAGUGCAUUACUUGAUAAUUAAAGCUGUAGCUGAGAUGCAAGAUUCUGUAUGCCGUGAAUUCAACAUUUACGAUGUGGCUGAAAAACUGAAAUCUUAAGGGCAGCUGCUUUCACUGAGAUCAAGGUAUACAAUGAAGCCAUCGAAGACUGUCUUGAUGCCAUUCACUGUGACCGGCACUAUUGGAAAGCAUACAGUCGUCUUGGUGCAUUAUACUAUGCUAUUGGGAGGUACAGUGAUGCUAUUAAGAGGUAUAAGAAAGCUUUGGAACUGAAUCCAGACAGUGCCUUCUAUCAAGGAGAGCAUUCAGGAGGGAUUGGAUUGAAUUGAGCCCUACCUCUCACAAGUUUGACCUGUUAGAGCUUUAGUUGGUGGAAGGAAAAGUGGUCAAUGUAAAUGAGCUCUAACGUAGUAUGCUAAGCUUUGCGUACA
This is a non-coding RNA of Punica granatum (pomegranate), 1742 nucleotides long. Lineage: Eukaryota; Viridiplantae; Streptophyta; Magnoliopsida; Myrtales; Lythraceae. The record is from RefSeq and is a predicted model, not a curated record.